This is a long non-coding RNA of Salvelinus fontinalis (brook trout), 2529 nucleotides long. RefSeq lists it as uncharacterized. NCBI's taxonomy places the organism in Eukaryota, Metazoa, Chordata, Actinopteri, Salmoniformes, Salmonidae. The record is from RefSeq and is a predicted model, not a curated record. The transcript has 2 exons.
ACUUCGUCAAUGUUAAGCUAAACAGUUAGCUAGCAGCUAGUGUGCAACGUUAGUGCUGACUCGUUUCUAUGGAGUGAAGAUGGCCCCUUUUCCCGACGAGGGGGAUGUUUUUACUGGCCCACAUUUGCGAAUGAAACAGUUGCCCUUGACAACAGUUUGCCCCGGCAACAAAUCUGCCCACACAGGCUGUGAACAAGCGAUUUGGUGGCAUUCUCUCUUUACCACCAUGCUCGAUGCUAUGUACAAGGAUCGCUACUUCGAUGCAGACAAGAAACAGGGUUUACAUGAAAUGUUACAUACAUAGCUGGACAAGAUGGAAACGGACACAGCGACAGUGCGCCCCCGAGGAAGAGGCCACGGACAGACAGAGCUGAAACUUCACUGCCUGACAUGUGUGAUGAAAUCCUGGUUGAGAAUGAAACGAAUGAACAAAAGAACAACGAAACAGCACAGCAAGCUUUGUGAACAGACACACCCCGUCACCCAACACACUGGUAUUUCAUAGUUGGAAAAACAGAAGACUGAUUUCCUAUCCUAACCCUGGCCCAGAUGCUGUAGAUGAGAUGACAUCACAGUGGACAGGCCAAGAACAACGGCUUCAUUCACUAUGGAGGCCUCAGUCACUCGUGUUCUACUAGCUAGCGCCCAGGAAAACAACGGUGACCUGCCUGAACUUGACACCACCGAAGGGGUGACCUCCUCCACCCCUCCCUCCAGGGCCUAGCUUCCCACCAUCACCCCCACCCAGGCACCACCCUCCUCCAUCUCCCCCUGGCCCUCCACCAGUGGUGGGUCACGCUGCUGAGUUCUCACCCCAGCCUGACAAAUACCAAUUGGCCAGGGACACAGACACAACAGGGUGAGAAUGAGACAGCUGUGGCCCAGGAAGGCAGGCCAUUAAAACUGAGUCAAUCAGCCAAGUGGCCCAGGAGACUGUCCCUCACUCUACCCAGGUUACAGUGUCCUCAGCCUGGACACUGCAGCUCCAUGGAGUCCCAGACCCGAACCGUCUCCUCCCUAUCUAGCUAUCUACCUUAAUUGUUUAUCUCCAAUCCCCUAUAGCACAGAGCUUGAGCCAACUCAAAGGUGCCCGCAUGUUUUGUUCAGCCACCUUCAUCUUCUUUCCUCUUGCUUUUCCUCCCCGGCAAUCCCUCUUUUUCAGAAACAUCAUCCCGAAACAUCAAAGUGAUACCACCCUCUGACAUCAAGAAUCAAAAGUUAUGGUUAUAUAAGCCGGGGGAUUUUUCUCUCUCUCUCUCUCUCUCUCUCGCUCUCUCUUUUGAUGAAAAAGUACAGGCUGUGUGUAUAUACUUAAAAUAUGAUUCAUCUGGGGAAGGUGAUGCUGUAUGAAAGUGCCAUGUAACGGCACUAUGAAGUACAGUAACAAGAAAUGAUACAAAACCUGCUUCCCAUAUGUCACAUGACCAUUAACCUACGAGCUACCUAUCCGACACCCUUGUCAUUUGUUUUCAGUUAGGUCAACAGGAAGCAAUAUGAACCUGUCUACGACUACAGUGUCCUAGUAACACGGGGUACCUCAGCCCCGGAUUGGAAUUUGGAAAAGUCAACGAUUCGAUAAUUACACAUCAAAGGUGUACAAAGCAGGUUACCGCAUGUUCCUGAGGCCUAUAUUUAGUCCUGCUUGCAAGGUGGAGACUAGGAAGGAAGCCGUUCUAUUUAAACACCCCUGUGCUGUGCCUGCCUGUGUGAUAAUCAUCUUCCUGUAGUUUAUUAACUGCAGUCUGAGAAGCUGAGCAUCUGGGCUGUCAACAACAGCAAUUGAGCCGCCGUUUGGUUUGCUCCCGUCAGCCAGUGAGUCACCUGGGUGCAACAUCCCCCCCACCCCCCCCACCCACCUGUAAAGACCUCGCAGGCAAAUACAAACAGGGACCCAAAGAAGGACCAAGCAGCGAGCGGGCUCAUGGCGGAAGCCUCUAGUAGACUAAAGAGGAGGGUUUAUUAGAGACGCUCACUUCCAACUGAGACUCUCUCAGAUUCGUGAGUAGCACUCUUGUAAAAAAUGUUAGUCAUUGAAACUGUGAUUUUGAGUCAAAGACUAUAAAAGAGAAACCUCUGCAGCAGAUGCUGGAACAUCCACCUUUCAGGAGAGCUCUUUAAUGGACUCAAAAUUGGGGUGGGGAGGAACAAGGAAAUAAGUGCAUGAAUAAUUACAGCUAUAAACGCCUCAGGGGAUUCGACAGGUUUCUUAUAUUUUCUAAAUGUUUCCGCCUCUUAAAAUAGGCUUGUACAUAUUAUCUCUUGAGGCUUCUUUAUAGCCAACCACUUCAAAGAGCUGAGGAUGAGGGCCCCUUAUCAUCAUUUGUAUUUAAAUCUGCAGCCUCUCUGUCAUUUCCUGCUGUCCUAAACAUUCUCUGACUGACACGGCUUUCUCUGAAUGUUCUAUGACUGCGGUCCAUACAUCUAUUAGGACCGCACUGUCGGUUAAGGGCUUGUAAGUAAGCAUUUCACGGUAAGGUCAACACUUGCUGUAUUCGGCGCACGUGACAAAUAAAGUUUGAUUUGAUUUGA